UACGUAGGAGGCGAGCGUUGUCCGGAGUUACUGGGCGUAAAGCGCACGCAGGCGGUUCGCCAAGUUUGGAGUGACAGUUGUCGGCUCAACCGACAAAGGACUUCAAAAACUGGUGAACUUGAGGACGAGAGAGGAACAUGGAACUCCAGGUGUAGUAGUGAAAUGCGUAGAUAUCUGGAAGAACACCAAUGGCGAAGGCAAUGUUCUGGCUCGUUUCUGACGCUCAGGUGCGAAAGCCAGGGGAGCGAACGGG
Molecule: ribosomal RNA, 253 nt
Filed under: uncultured bacterium
Lineage: Bacteria
Description: partial 16S ribosomal RNA
Rfam family: Bacterial small subunit ribosomal RNA
Source: RNAcentral